UUGGCAUAGUGGUUAAGUGCUGUGGCUGCUAACCAAAAGGUCGGCAGUUCGAAUCUGCCA
This is a transfer RNA of Loxodonta africana (African savanna elephant), 60 nucleotides long. It matches the Rfam family "tRNA", at positions 7 to 64 of the family's 71-position model. From Rfam's summary of the family: Transfer RNA (tRNA) molecules are approximately 80 nucleotides in length. Their secondary structure includes four short double-helical elements and three loops (D, anti-codon, and T loops). NCBI's taxonomy places the organism in Eukaryota, Metazoa, Chordata, Mammalia, Proboscidea, Elephantidae. The record is from Rfam.